RNAcentral lists this ribosomal RNA (496 nucleotides) under uncultured bacterium. RNAcentral describes it as "partial 16S ribosomal RNA". It matches the Rfam family "Bacterial small subunit ribosomal RNA", at positions 28 to 506 of the family's 1533-position model. The record is from RNAcentral.
GAUGAACGCUGGCGGCGUGCCUAAUACAUGCAAGUCGAGCGAACAGACGAGGAGCUUGCUCCUCUGACGUUAGCGGCGGACGGGUGAGUAACACGUGGAUAACCUACCUAUAAGACUGGGAUAACUUCGGGAAACCGGAGCUAAUACCGGAUAAUAUAUUGAACCGCAUGGUUCAAUAGUGAAAGACGGUUUUGCUUUCACUUAUAGAUGGAUCCGCGCCGCAUUAGCUAGUUGGUAAGGUAACGGCUUACCAAGGCAACGAUGCGUAGCCGACCUGAGAGGGUGAUCGGCCACACUGGAACUGAGACACGGUCCAGACUCCUACGGGAGGCAGCAGUAGGGAAUCUUCCGCAAUGGGCGAAAGCCUGACGGAGCAACGCCGCGUGAGUGAUGAAGGUCUUCGGAUCGUAAAACUCUGUUAUUAGGGAAGAACAAAUGUGUAAGUAACUAUGCACGUCUUGACGGGACCUAAUCAGAAAGCCACGGCUAACUACGU